CUCUCCCAGUAUUCCAAGUAUGGCUCCCAGUGUUCCCAGUAUGGACCAGUAUGACCCAGUUUGGCUCCCAGUGCUCCCAGUAUGAACCAGUGACAGCUCCCAGUGCUCCCAGUAUGGGGUUGGCAUUCCCAGUGCUCCCAGUAUGGACCAGUGACCGCUCCCAGUGCUCCCAGUAUGAACCAGUAACAGCUCCCAGUAUGGCCCAGUAUGGCCCAAAGCCUCUCCCAGUACAAACCAGUGCUCCCAGUAUGGGGUUGGCAUUCCCAGUACUCCCAGUAUGGCCCAGUAACUCCUCCCAGUAUGGCCCAGUAUGGCUCCCAGUACUCCCAGUAUGGCUCAGUAACUCCUCCCAGUACUCCCAGUCUGGCUCCCAGUGCUCCCA
RNAcentral lists this long non-coding RNA (382 nucleotides) under Taeniopygia guttata (zebra finch). RNAcentral describes it as "lncRNA (ENSTGUG00000019472.1)". The record is from RNAcentral. Lineage: Eukaryota; Metazoa; Chordata; Aves; Passeriformes; Estrildidae.